This 1749-nucleotide long non-coding RNA is filed under the name Micromonas pusilla. Its description in RNAcentral is "long non-coding RNA (MPUS_LNC000104)". The record is from RNAcentral. Lineage: Eukaryota; Viridiplantae; Chlorophyta; Mamiellophyceae; Mamiellales; Mamiellaceae.
ACUUCUUCACGCGGAAUAUGUCCGCGGUGUGCGCGUUCGCGGUCGGCGGCGCGUACGCCCCAGGCUCCGGGUUCAUCGUCAUCGGCGCGCACACGGACUCGCCGUGCCCCAAGCUGAAGCCGCAGACGAAGUUGACGAGCGCGGACUUCCUUCAGGCGCGUUCUGUCUGUUGCUAUCACACUGGUCCCCAUACGACCGCGUUGGCGUGAUGACCGCCGUUCCUUAAGGACUUUCUCUCCCGGCGCGCGCAUCUCUCCGCCCAGGGUCCCUCGCUUUCGAUCCCCGACCGAGACGCCUUUUGACUCCGACUGAUGACUGACUGACGACGCCUUUCGACUCCACCCCGACGUACGUCGCUUCGCUUCGCCUCGCGCGGAACGACCCUCAGGUCCGGACGCAAAACUACGGCGGCGGGCUGUGGUACACGUGGUUCGAUCGCGACCUGGGCGUCGCCGGGCGCGUGCUGGUGCGCGAGAAGGGCGGCGCCGCGCGGCACGCGGUCGUCAAAGUGGACCGACCCGUGAUGCGCAUCCCUUCGCUCGCGAUCCACCUCGACCGGUGCGUCCUCCUCACACUGGUCCCCAUACGACCGCGUUCGCGUGGUGAACGCCGAUCCUUAAGGACUUUCUCUCCCGGCGUGUAUUUAUCUCCGCCCAGGGUCCCUCGCUUUCAAUCCCGACGCGCCUCGACGCCUUUCGACUCCGACUGACUGACGACGCCUUUGAACUCCGCCCCGACGUUCGCGAUGAAAUAGGUCCCUGAACGAGGGGUUCAAGGUGAACUUCCAGAGCCACAUGGCGCCGGUGAUCGCGAGCGCGGUCGAGGAGGCGUUAGGACACGGCGGCGGCGGCGCGACGGUUGACGAUUCAUCUUCCCCCGCGGCGAAGAAGGCGAAGGGCGAAAAGCACCACCCGGUUCUCCUCGACCUCCUGGCGGACGAGCUCGAGUGCGACGCGGACGACAUCCUGGACUUCGAGCUGCAGCUGUGCGACGUCCAGCCGUCCGCGAUCGGCGGCGCGCGAAAAGAGUUCAUAUUCUCCGGCCGCCUCGACAACCUCGUCUCGUGCUUCGCGUCGCUCCGAGCGUUGAUCGACGCCAGCGGCGACGCGAAAUCGUCGUCGCUGCGAACUGAGGCGCGUUCUAUACACUGGUCCCCAUACGACCGCGUUGGCGUGGUGAACGCCGAUCCUUAAGGACUUUGCCCGUCGUCUCUCUCCGCCCAGGGUCCCUCGCGUUCAAUCCCCACCCUCGACGCCUUUCAACGCCAACUGACGCCUUUGAACACCACCCCGACGUUCGCUCGUACGGAACGACCCUCAGAUGGGCGUGCGGAUGAUGGUGCACUACGACCACGAGGAGGUCGGCAGCGACAGCGCGCAGGGCGCGGGGUCGUCCAUGACCGAGGACGCGAUGCGUCGCAUCACGACGUCGCUCUCCGCGGGAAUGGCAGCGGGCCCCGGUGAAGAAGGCGUGGAGGAACGCGCGCGUCGAAAAUCCUUCGUCGUCUCCGCGGAUAUGGCGCACGCGGUGCACCCCAACUACGCGGACAAGCACGAACCCGGGCACAAGCCAAAGUUCGGCGCGGGCGUCGUCGUGAAGCACAACGCGAACCAGCGGUACGCCACCGACGCCGUGAGCUCGUACUUGUUCAAAGAGAUCGGCGAGAGGGCCGGGCUGCCCGUGCAAGAGUUUGUCGUUCGCAGCGACCUCGGGUGCGGAUCCACGAUCGGCCCGACGCUGUCCACGAAC